RNAcentral lists this long non-coding RNA (804 nucleotides) under Nicotiana tabacum (common tobacco). Its description in RNAcentral is "long non-coding RNA (NTAB_LNC015767)". Lineage: Eukaryota; Viridiplantae; Streptophyta; Magnoliopsida; Solanales; Solanaceae. The record is from RNAcentral.
GAAAUGCAGGUGAUGGUGUAGCCAUCACUAGUUUUGGAACAGCUGAGCAGGAAUAUGAUUCCCCUGAAACACCGCGGCUUCCACCGAUUAGGACACAAGAUUCUUCUGCUGAGCCACUGAACUCAGUUGCAUCAUCCUUCCAGCUAAUGUCUAAAUCAGUUGAAGGAGUUCUAGAUGAGAAGUAUCCCGCAUUCAAAGAUAGGCAUAAGCUGGCAGUAGAGCGAGAGAAGCAAAUUAAGGUAAAGGCUGAGCAGGCAAGAGCAGCAAGGUUUGAGAAGUCCUUGCCCCCAAAACUUUCUCAAUUGAAAGAGAAGCGAGUGUCAGUAUCAGUAUCAGCGCCAGUGGUCUCUGCCUCUGGUGACUCAGUUGAGCAGUCCGGUGAUAGCAAAACUGACUCUCAAGCAGUGAGCAAAAUGAAACCAAUUAAUAUUGAGAAAAGACCUCCUAGGACUCCUCGUCCACCACCUACACGAUCAGCAGGUGGUCCCGCUCCAGCUGGUAAUAAUGUUACAGGUGGGGCACCUGGUGGUCCACCCCCACCACCUCCUCCGCCUGGUGCUCCACCACCACCGCCACCACCUGGUGGAGGAGCUCCUAGACCACCUCCUCCUCCUGGAUCUCUAAUGAAAGAAGGAGCUGGAGGUGAUAAGGUCCAUCGCGCUCCUGAAUUAGUUGAAUUCUACCAAUCAUUGAUGAAACGCGAGGCAAAGAAGGAUACAUCAUCACCUUUGAUAUCCUCUACUUCAAACACAUCAGAUGCAAGAAGCAACAUGAUCGGUGAGAUAGAGAACAGAUCCACAUUCC